CAACGAUGAAAUUUUUCCCAGGAAAAAAAAUUCAAUACGUUCAGUACAAUAUUAAUUUAUAAUAAAAAUCAUGUCAAAUCGGCAAAAAAUGUGGAACGCUUCACGAUUUUGCGUGUCAUCCUUGCGCAGGGGCCAUGCUAAUCUUCUCUGUAUCGUUCCAAUUUUAGUAUAUGUACUGCCGAAGCAAGUACGUUAGUACGGUUGAAAGAAAUUCCUUAUAUACCGGAUAGUACAUUCAAAUAUACUAUCGAGAAACUUGAUUUUCCUUAGGAAGAGCCAUCUAGUGAUAAAUCCGUGUAUUGUCGUUACAUCAUAACCUCACAUUUAACCUAGCCUUAAAAACAAACAUGACUUAUCGGCCACUGUGACAUUAACAAAUAAAAGUCUGAAUUAAUUAUAAUUUAAUAGUUGACUCGUUUAACCAAAGAUACCGGUUUUACGAUUGAUCGGGAGCUAUGCGAUUAGCAGGCUGGAGAUAUGGCGUAUUUGUUGGAAGUUUUAAAAGAUCAGAGAAGUGGCUUUCAAAGAUAGACCUGUAUAAAUUAUCCCAUCAAAUUAAACUGGAGAGCUGGCUAUGAGACAGAGUCUAGGCACAAUAUCAUACUUUCUGUCACAAAAUAAUUUAUAUACUUUCUACUGCAAACAGUGAGUGAUUGACUGCUCGAGCAAUUAUCACGUAGAAGAAAUUUCGUUCGUUAAUCGACUAGAAAUUUCAUUGCUAGUAUACAAUCUUGUAAUUAUGCACUAUAUAACACAUUUAUUGUACACA
This is a long non-coding RNA of Harpegnathos saltator (Jerdon's jumping ant), 769 nucleotides long. RefSeq lists it as uncharacterized. The record is from RefSeq and is a predicted model, not a curated record. The transcript is spliced from 4 exons. NCBI's taxonomy places the organism in Eukaryota, Metazoa, Arthropoda, Insecta, Hymenoptera, Formicidae.